CCUGCCCUGAGAGGCAUUGCAGGUGUGGCUGCUGUGUCACAUGUGCAUCAGUAGGUGGCAGAGAGGAGAGAGACCGUGUCUAUGCUCAGCGUUCUGACCUAGGAACAUCUGAGUGACUAAUAGCCUAGCAUU
This is a small nucleolar RNA of Mastomys coucha (southern multimammate mouse), 132 nucleotides long. RefSeq annotates it as small nucleolar RNA SNORA17. The record is from RefSeq and is a predicted model, not a curated record. Lineage: Eukaryota; Metazoa; Chordata; Mammalia; Rodentia; Muridae. The transcript has a single exon.